This 413-nucleotide long non-coding RNA is filed under the name Apteryx rowi (Okarito brown kiwi). Its description in RNAcentral is "lncRNA (ENSARWG00000003696.1)". The record is from RNAcentral. Lineage: Eukaryota; Metazoa; Chordata; Aves; Apterygiformes; Apterygidae.
CGGCCCCGCUCGCCCGGCGUGGGAAGGAAAUGCCACCCUGCGCUGGGAACGAAAGGGCUGGGAGAGCCCGGACGCCUGGGUCCCCUCCUAGCAGGGGAGGUUCAAGCGCAGGGGCCAGGACGCCUGGGCCCCCUCCUCCUCGGAGGCGAGGCGGGGAGGGAGGAAGCCUCUGCUCUGGGAAAAACACUUCCCCUCCAGCGCUCCGGAGCUGUUCCCGGCAGGAAGGAGCUCUGAGCUGCGGGGCAGAGACGCAGCAAAGCCAUGGUCUGCUCGCGGGAGACCGGCACCCGGAGACUGAGCUGAAGGUGCCGUCRCGGUCGGUGCCAGCCUGCGGCCGCCCGAGGAAGCCAGCGACGGGGACAGAGCUGCGCCGGAGGGGACGCUCCAUGCGGAGCUGAAGCGGCCGCGGCCGA